GAUGAAAUAGUAUAAAGCCAAGCUUUGUUUUGUGUAUUGUUUUGUUUUGUUUGCUUGAGGACAAGCAAAGUUCUAAGUUUGGGGUGUUGAUGAAGGUUGAAAAACAGUUAUUUUCAUAUGUCAUUGUAGACCAAAUUACUCCCUUUACUACUUAGAAUGAGCUUAGAAUCAAGCAAAACUCAAUAAAUGAGUCUGUAGAGAGUCAAAAGCUAUUUUUAGCGAUAUUAUGCUUGUUUUGCAUUGUUUUGUAGCAUUUUUGAGAAAGUGAAGAAUGGAGUUGAGGAUAAAGGUCGUAGACUCAAGAAAAGAGAAGAAAAUUGAAGAUUUGAAGAGUCGACGCACCGCCCAGCAGCAAAUUACACCGUCGGGCGGUCCAGGGCAAGGAGUAGGCACCUAACGUGGGCGCUGGGCGGAUUUGCGAUUAGAGGCAAACCGCUGGGCAAUAGACCCCUACCGUCGGGCAGUAGUGUGAUUUCAGGGAAACCGCCGGGCGCCACACUUGUUCCACCGAGCGGUUGUCUGCUGGGCUUGGGCCUGUUUUCUGUUGCGCUCCUCACUUAUAAAUAGCCCUAUUGCGAGUUUAGAUGUAUUCUUUUGACAGAAGGGGGCGGCCAGACCUAAUUUCACUCUCUGGAGAGGAUCUCUUGGAUGCUUAGGCUCCUUUUUCACUUCUGCUUUAUAAUGCUUUUUUAAUUGCUAGGGGAGGCUAGGGAUAGCAAGUCAGUAAUUAGUAAGAGGCUCUUUUCACCGAGGGAUCGGGUUAAGGGUAGGCUAAGAAAGUUGCAUGACAAUUAGAUAAUCAAGCUAAUAAAUCAAGAGGAAUAAAUAAGAGAGAACGGAUAAGAUAAAACUGUAAACCCCCAAAAACUCCAUUCAUCCAUUGUUUUCUUCUUGUCAAUUGAAUCAAUAUCUUUUGCAUGUUUAUAUUUUAUUCACACAUUCACUUAAUUAAUUUUUUAUUUUCAAGUCUUACGAUCUUAAUUCACACGAACGAUAAGGCCUUUCGAGUCUCUUGGGAAAACGAUACUUGGACUUACCAUUUAUUAUUACUUGAUACGAUUUGGUACGCUUGCCAAUCCGUUAACACCUGGUCGGCCAACCUGGCCAUCGAACUUUCUACCGUCCGCCUUAUCCCCCUUGGCCUCCUGGAUCUUGAUACGCGAGGCCCAAGCCCAAUUUCCUUAGUCUAGUAUUUCUUUUAAUUUUAUUAGAGAUGUGUACAAUGUGUUAGGCAUGUGGUACAUUUAGCCCUAUAUAUAGGCAUGCUAACGCAUCUUCUAAUCACUUUUGAGAUUAAUGAGAAUUUGGUUUUCUAAAACAGAAAAUAAUUCUCUCUUGAAAGUCAUAGGCUAGAGAGUCCAAAGACUCCCUCUAGCCACCUUCCAAGCACCUCUCUCACUUUCCAAUUUCAUUUGCCAUUAUCUAGUGUGCUUCUCUCUCCACAUUGCAUCAAACCAUACUCCACUACCACACUUCCUGUGCACGCGUCAGUGUUACAACCACGCGUCCUCCUCUGACUCGUGCCAACACCACCAUAUUUUUCCUUCAGACGAACCACGACCUCAUUUCUUCCAUUGCAUCACAUUUCUAGGGUUUGCUCUUGAGAAACAUUUUCUCUCUCGAGUUCCUCGUCUCCAGCCACGAUUCUUCACUGUAAGUCUCGUUUUCAUCAUAGUUUCACUUCGUCUCUCUCCUUUCUCUGUCGUCACAGCCUUUUACCACCAUUUUCUUCAUAUUUUGACCGAUUAAACUCCUUGCCUCACCAUUUCCCAUCAUUUUCACCGAUUGAAUUUGAUUUCCACCGUUUAAAACCUUAUCCACCGUUCAUCCACUGUUUUGAACCGAUUAAUCGGUUCGUUUGAGCCACCUCACCAUUGCUAGGGUUUCUUUGUCUCAGAUUAGGGUUCUAGUGAGUGGAUCUCACUUUUGGUCCGAUUAGAGUCUAAGAUUGUUUCCUCCUUCAAGUAUCAUCAUUCCUUCGAGGCUCUCUCGUAUCAGAUCUCCUUUCUAUAACUUUGCUUCAUAUCCCCCACGCGUAUCUCGUUAGUCGCCCGUUCAUGCAGCUCUUCCAUGGUCUUUGGUGGCAUUCGGCACACACUAUCCUUGAAGGGGCCCGACCUUAGUGCCGACAAAACAUACUGGAGGGCAAGCUUAAGACUGAGGCCCUUUACCCGUCGGACCGUCUUCUGAUAUCAGUCCAUAAAAGUUUUCAACGAUUCCUCCUUUCCCUGCUUU
RNAcentral lists this long non-coding RNA (2235 nucleotides) under Vigna radiata. RNAcentral describes it as "long non-coding RNA (VRAD_LNC015836)". The record is from RNAcentral. Lineage: Eukaryota; Viridiplantae; Streptophyta; Magnoliopsida; Fabales; Fabaceae.